GGGGUUGUGGCUCAGUGGUAGAGUGCUUGCCUAUCAUGUAUGAGGUAUUGGGUUCAAUUCUCAGCACCA
Non-coding RNA from Ictidomys tridecemlineatus (thirteen-lined ground squirrel), 69 nucleotides. The record is from Rfam. Lineage: Eukaryota; Metazoa; Chordata; Mammalia; Rodentia; Sciuridae.